RNAcentral lists this ribosomal RNA (547 nucleotides) under uncultured Glomeromycotina. RNAcentral's name for it is "SSU rRNA". It matches the Rfam family "Eukaryotic small subunit ribosomal RNA", at positions 548 to 1098 of the family's 1831-position model. Lineage: Eukaryota; Fungi; Glomeromycota. The record is from RNAcentral.
UUGGAGGGCAAGUCUGGUGCCGGCAGCCGCGGUAAUUCCAGCUCCAAUAGCGUAUAUUAAAGUUGUUGCAGUUAAAAAGCUCGUAGUUGAAUUUCGGGAUCAAUAUAUCGGUCGUGCCUUCGGUAUGUACUGGUAUUAUUGGUUUCUCCUUUCUGACGAACUAUAAUGCCAUUAAUUUGGUGUUUUAGGGAAUCAGGACUGUUACUUUGAAAAAAUUAGAGUGUUUAAAGCAGGCUCACGCUUGAAUACAUUAGCAUGGAAUAACGGAAUAGGACGUUUGAUUCUAUUUUGUUGGUUUCUAGGAUCGACGUAAUGAUUAAUAGGGAUAGUUGGGGGCAUUAGUAUUCAAUUGUCAGAGGUGAAAUUCUUGGAUUUAUUGAAGACUAACUACUGCGAAAGCAUUUGCCAAGGAUGUUUUCAUUAAUCAAGAACGAAAGUUAGGGGAUCGAAGACGAUCAGAUACCGUCGUAGUCUUAACCAUAAACUAUGCCGACUAGGGAUCGGAUGAUGUUAUUUUUAAUGACUCAUUCGGCGCCUUACGGGAAAC